This is a long non-coding RNA of Diorhabda carinulata, 4340 nucleotides long. RefSeq lists it as uncharacterized. The record is from RefSeq and is a predicted model, not a curated record. The transcript is spliced from 3 exons. NCBI's taxonomy places the organism in Eukaryota, Metazoa, Arthropoda, Insecta, Coleoptera, Chrysomelidae.
GGCGUCUAUUCAUGACGUCGUUACCACCACGAAGUUUUAUGUGCGGUUCCUAAUAAGUUGAAGGAUAAUAAAAUGCCCGUUAAAAAUGGAAAACUUUAUUAUAAAAACAAUAUAUAUAACAAACACAUCAACAAAAAUAAUAUGUAUUAAAUUUGUAAAAAACUGGUAAAACCAGUAUAUUCAAUGUAAAUUAAUAUAACAUAAAUAGUGAAGGCAUCAAGGUAGCACCGUGAAGGUUGGAAAUAAAGUAUUUUCAUAUACUUUAUUUGUAUGCAAAAGUAUAAUUACCAAAAAGACUACCCAAUUAAACUCAACAUAAAAAACUGGUGCAAAGGUGCUUGUGCAAGUACUGCAGAGUUCAUUAGAAAUGGGCCAAUUUUAUGUCGAAGUGCGUGCCACUCCGCCAGUGAAUUGCAUUAGAAAUAUAUAUUAAAGAUGACACUAAAGUAAAUAAUUUUAUGUUGGUAGUGCAUAAGGGAUACAGAUUGGCAAAACCUAGUUGUUAAUUUGUAAUCUUCGUGUUAUACUUGCCUUUUUGGAACUAAUAGUUAGGUUUAUUUAAUUGCAUAAUCAAGAUCAUCAUCGAGACUACCAGAUAUCAAAAGAAAAGUUUUAAAUUGUUUAGUAGAGCUCUUUAUAAUACCUACGGUUUUUUCAAGGACGGAAGAAACGUUUCUAGAACCUUCUUCAUAAAGAAACACCUUCUUUUUUAAAAUACUAUUCUUCUUACCUUUUAAGUACAGUUGAUAACCUGAUUUUUGUAAAAAUAACGACUCUGGUAAUGAAUAUACAUGACUAGUUAUGAUAUUGUACUGAACAUUAGUUGGUACUACCUUCAUCUGGAGAGAUAAAUAUUCUGUAGCUUGGUACACUCCACCUUGAUGCAAAAAACCAUAAAAUAAACUGAAUAUAAAGUUCAACAUCAACCAAAUUCUAAUAAAACUAUAAUUAUUGAAUGUUUUUCUUGAUUGCGUUACAUAUGGUACGUUAGGAGCUUCAACUAAAGCUACGUCAGUUUCUGGUAGUAUAGAUGAAGCAUACAGAUAAAUUAAUGGGAAAAUGAGUGGAAUUAAAAAACGUGGUUCUUGAUGGGGAAAUAUUGACAAAGCUGCCAAAGGGACUAUGAAUGAAAGAGUCAUCAGGCAUUUAAUACUUCUUAGUGAUGGUAGUAGGUUGAACUUCUUCAAAUAACACCUAAAAAUAACAAAAAACAUGUCUUCCUGUCAAAUAAAUUAAGAGCCUUGAGAGAAGGGUCAAAGUUAUUAUUUCCAAAAUUUUCAGCUAGAUUUAUAUAAUUUUUUUUUAUAAUGUUUGUUUAAUAAAAAUCAGAAUUCAUAAUUCUGUAGGUUAUUUUAUUGACUUAGAAGCUAUAAUAAAAAAAACCUCGCAUAUGUCUUUAUGAGUCUACUCCAGUGAGAAGAUCUACAAAACUCAUUGUAUGUAUGUUGGCUAGUCUUCAGUCAUCUCUUCCUUGCAUCAAUGGUUGGAAUAUGAGAUUAGCAUGUGAUUCCAGCCUUUGGUGAUGCAUUUGGCUCCUCAGUUGUAUGGUUUCUUGUACUGUUGCAAUUAGAAGGUCUUAGUGUAUCAUCUGGUUUGAAAUAUUAUACCAAGAUAUCCUUUGUCUAACAGCUAUACUUGAUUUACCGGCAAGUCCCUACAGUUUUAUGCCGUAAGUCCAGAUUGGAAUGAUGACUGUCUUGUACAAUAAAAUGUUCACAUUUUUUAUUUUCUGGCUAGCAACCAAUUCAAAUCUCUCAUUUUAAGGUCUAUUUGUGUGUGUUUCUUUUUAAUGUGUUCUCUUCAGUUAAAUUUGGCGUCUAGGAGCAUUCCUAAAUAUUUAAUGCUAGAUGAUUGUAAAACUUCUAAUUAUUAAUGUAUAUUGAUGAAAUUAUGUGUUGCUAUUUGUUUUCAUAUAUAUUUAUUCUCCACCUUUUGAGCUCUUCUUUUACUUCUAACACAUAUUCUUACUAUAGGAUCUUUGUGGGACAAGAGAAUAACAGUGUAGUCUGCAUGGUCUGUUAUGGUGUAAUUAGAGAUGGGGAGGUUGGAGGUGAAUAUAUUUAUAUAAAUGAGAAUUAAUUUGUCAUCCACGAAUAUGGGAUUUAAAUGCAUUAUAUUCUUUCCUAAUAGUUCCAUUGCAAUACAAAUCUAUGUGGGUGUCCCAGAAGUGAAACACUCCUUCAAUUCUAGUCAUCAACAAUUACAAAACGGUGAAUAGAUUUUGAAUCCUUCUUCCUAAUUAUUAUUCUACUAUAGAGCUUCUGAGUACUUAAUAUUGAGCAAGCAAAAUGUUUUAAUUAGCAAAUAAAUAUUAGUGACAAAAUCUGAUACUAAAAAGUAAAAAUAAAUGAAGACAGUACUUACAAAUAUACAUAUUUUCCAACUGUACAGAGAGCGAAAAUUCCCAGUAAAUUAAAAAGUAAAGGAAUAUUCACCAGGACAUGCAAAAAUCUAGGAUGCAAUCCAUGUACAGCCAAAUUAUCCAAAUUGCUAUUAUAUUUCAAGAAAUUUAAUGGAGUGAAAACAAAUUUAUCCAUAGUAACAUCUAACAUACCAAUUUCCCCCCAAGUUAUAUGACCAUAAUAAAAUGAAUCAACUAAUAUAUUAAAAAGAAAUGAAGGGAUUGAGCAUAAGGCGAAGACUAGUACUCUGCAAUUGAGAGUUAGAGGAGAAAUUGUUUUCUUACCAAUACCUCUGUAUAACCAGAAAAAUAUGGGAAUAACUGAAUAUGCUAGGAAAGUUGGUCUAUUGAAGAAACCGAAAACUGUUAUAGUGCUAAUAACAAAGCAAUUUCUAUAGGAAUCUGAUACCAAGUAAAGUUUUAAUUUAUGAAACUUUGCUUUAUCAGCUGUUGUUUUACAUUGUUCAUAUCUAUAAUUUAUAUAGUCCUUUUUCUUCAAUAAAGUAUUGUUAAAAAUCAAACUUUCACCAACAAAAUACAACAAUAGGGAAAACAGAAUCAACUCGAUAGUAUUUGAAAAUGUCCUAGUACCAUAAAUGAUGAUAAUAUAUGAGCUAGCUAACAUUAUUAAUCGUGAUUUAUAUUUCUCAUUAUUAUUAAUGCAGAUUUUGUAUAGACAGUAGUCUAUAAGGAAAGUUAAUAGACACAUUAUGAACCUAGGGAUAGUAAGCAGCAUAUAAGGUGUUAGCAAGGCUUGGUUAAAAUAAGAUUUGCUUAGCUCAUUUGCGUCUCUUAAAAAUGUGUAACUUAAUCCCAUGGUGAAAUAAGGAAUUGUCAUGCUGCGUAUGGGAGUGGUUACAUUAAAUUCCCAUGGUGGGCUACAUUGAACAUCUAGAAGUUUCCCUAAAACAAGAUGCAAACAUUUUUCAAGAGAAAAUUUAAAUUAAAAUAAUAUGUUACCUGCUAAAACUUCCAAAGAUUGGAAAAAUUCAUCUGGAUGAAUAUAACCAGUUUGGGGUAUAAAAACUAAUAGUAUUCGGAUUAAAACUAGGAAAUAAUAAUACACACUGUAAUUAUUUCGCUUUUUCUUCAUAUUAAAGCAUACAGUAUUUUUGUUUACAUUCUCAUGAAAUGGAAUUUAAACCGUAUUUUCUUCUUUUAUUUUAUUAUGGUCUUUUACAAAGAGUAACCUGAACUCAAGAAUGGCCUCCACUAGUAACAUGCUUAUCCACUUGAGUUGUUGAUUCAUUAAAUUAAAUACAAAUGUAACAUGUCUACUUUAUUGAUAUUAUAACGAAUUGAACAAUACUGAAUGAAAAAAAUUCAAUAAAUAAGAGGUUAGGUUUAUAGUAAAGAGAACCUAUAUAGUAGACUCGCUUUUAUAUAUUAGAUGCAAAAACAUUAUACAAAGCUUAUUUGAAGACAAUCAUUGUAAAUUUUGAUAAUCAAUUAAUAGCGCAGUUUCUUAUUAAUAUAUAAACAAAAUUGAAUAGGGAGAGUAGAAAUUAUGAACCAAAUAAUUUUACUUGAAAAUGUAGAAGAAUAUGAUCGACUGUCAAAUGCCAGCUGUCGUUUAUUAAUCGGAAUAACAAAGUUAUUAGUAUUACAUUAUAAAAUUUUACUCUGAAUAUUAUUUAAUAAGAUACUGAUGUAUAACACUUGUAAUUUUGUUGAUAAAUUAUAAUUAUUUUAGGUCUCUAUCAAUUAAAAGCAUAUAAUAUUGACUGAAAGUACUCCAAACGUCAAUGUUAUAAGCUUUUAAAUGAAAUUUUAAAUUGAUAAGGACCGAAAAUCAAGAUAAUUUAUCAACAAAAGCGUAUAAAAGAGGUUUACUAAGUAAUAAAUCAAAGAAAUAUUUGUAAUUUUAUAUAUAUUCUAAAAUAAGGUUAUAUUUAAUAUAAGAUAUUGAUGUGAAUGUUGCAAUAAAAUAUUUGGAAUA